CGGCCUGUUGUGAUGGAAAUUUGAGUGUGCACGUGCUUCAAGAUCAUCUGCACUGUCUGUAUGAAUGAAUGAUGAAUAAAUCUAUGGGAUUUUGAUGAUCAGGCUCUUCACAUAAGGGAAACCCCUCUGUCAGACCCCAAAAUCUCUGCAACUCUCUCACUUUGCUUCUUUGUCUUUCUCUUUUGAUGGGUUUUGAGUGCGAGUUAU
RNAcentral lists this unclassified non-coding RNA (207 nucleotides) under Hevea brasiliensis (rubber tree). Lineage: Eukaryota; Viridiplantae; Streptophyta; Magnoliopsida; Malpighiales; Euphorbiaceae. The record is from RNAcentral.